Molecule: non-coding RNA, 761 nt
Filed under: Choristoneura fumiferana (eastern spruce budworm)
Lineage: Eukaryota; Metazoa; Arthropoda; Insecta; Lepidoptera; Tortricidae
Source: RNAcentral
UAAAAAUUUUUUUUAAAAUUUAUUUUACAUAUAAAUUUUAGUGUAAAUUUUUAAAUAUUUUAAGAAUAUUUAAUUUUAUUAAAUUAGUAAUUAAUAUUAAAAAUUUAAGAAAUUAAGAUUUAGUAAUAUUAAAAUUAAUAACAAAUUUUGUGCCAGCAGUUGCGGUUAUACAAAAGUUAAAUUAAAUUUUAUUAGUAAUAAUUAAUAUAAAAUAAUUUAAUUUAAAUAUUAAAUUAAUAAGUGAAAUUUUAAUUUAAUUAAAAAUUAUAAUAAAAAUUGUAUGAUUUAAUAAAUUUUAAUAUAAACUAGGAUUAGAUACCCUAUUAUUAAAAAUUUAAAUUUAAAAUACUAAAAUAGUAAAUAAUUAUUUAUUUAAACUUAAAUAAUUUGGCGGUAUUUUAGUUCAUUUAGAGGAAUCUGUUUAUUAAUUGAUAAUCCACGAAUAAUUUUACUUAGUUUAUAAUUUUGUAUAUCGUUGUUAAAAAAAUAUUUUUAAAUAAAUUUAAUAUUUUAAAAUUUAAAAAGAAAAUUAAAUCAGAUCAAGAUGCAGAUAAUAAUUAAGAAUAUAAUGGAUUACAAUAAAUUUAUUUAUAUGAAUAUUAAAUUGAAAAAUUUAAUUGAAAGUGGAUUUAAAUGUAAUUUUAUUUAAUUUAAUAAAAUGAUUUUAAAUUAAAAUAUGUACAUAUUGCCCGUCGCUUUCAUUAAUAAGUUGAAAUAAGUCGUAACAAAGUAGAGGUACUGGAAAGUGUUUCUAGAAAGAA